RNAcentral lists this transfer RNA (73 nucleotides) under Anguilla anguilla (European eel). RNAcentral describes it as "tRNA-OTHER". The record is from RNAcentral. Lineage: Eukaryota; Metazoa; Chordata; Actinopteri; Anguilliformes; Anguillidae.
GGCACGGUGGUGCAGUGGGUAGCACUGUUGCCUCACAGUACGAAGGUCCUGGGUUCAAAUCCGGCCUGGGCCU